UACGGAGGGGGCAAGCGUUGUUCGGAAUACUGGGCGUAAAGCGCGCGUAGGCGGUUAGCAUAGUCAGGCGUGAAAUCCCGGGGCUCAACCCCGGAACUGCGCUUGAUACUGGCUAACUAGAGGUCUGGAGAGGGUAGUGGAAUUCCCAGUGUAGAGGUGAAAUUCGUAGAUAUUGGGAAGAACACCAGCGGCGAAGGCGGCUACCUGGACAGAUACUGACGCUGAGGUGCGAAAGCGUGGGGAGCGAACAGGAUUAGAUACCCCGUAGUCC
Molecule: ribosomal RNA, 271 nt
Filed under: uncultured bacterium
Lineage: Bacteria
Description: partial 16S ribosomal RNA
Rfam family: Bacterial small subunit ribosomal RNA
Source: RNAcentral